GGUGUGGCAAGACAAUUAUCAGUUGAUCAUGAGCCUGACAACGAAAGGGACAACAUUGAGAGCAGAGGUGGCUUCGUAACAAAAUUUCCUGGUAAGUGAAAUUAUAAGAAGUUAAAUAAAUUUGAGGGUGUAUGACCUAUGCUGCAACAAUUUUUCACAUCUUGGAUACUUUUAUUAGCUUGACAGUGACAAAAGAAAAGUUAAGAAAUAGAGGAAAACCUCAUAAAAGGGGAAUAAAUAAAAGAAUCGAAGAAGUAUCUGUUUAUCUAUGAAAUUGCUAGAUUGUCAAUGUUCAGGGUGUCAUAUUAUGGGGGGAGUAUCUUCGAGCUUGUGAUCUUAUUAAAUAAUAUGUUAUUGAUGUUAACUUGCUGCAUGAAAAUAAAGAAAAGAAAAGCAAAAAAAAAAAAAAAAAGGAAGAAACUGACCAUGUAAAUUGCCAUGAACUACUUGUGAAGGUCCGUGCUCCCUUGUAAUAUCCACGUCUCAGGUUCAGGUCCAUGUUCCCUCAUACGACCUUAAUUCAUUCUUAUUUCAUC
This 536-nucleotide long non-coding RNA is filed under the name Olea europaea (common olive). Its description in RNAcentral is "long non-coding RNA (OEUR_LNC002000)". Lineage: Eukaryota; Viridiplantae; Streptophyta; Magnoliopsida; Lamiales; Oleaceae. The record is from RNAcentral.